This 1017-nucleotide ribosomal RNA is filed under the name Nesterenkonia halobia. RNAcentral describes it as "bacterial SSU rRNA". It matches the Rfam family "Bacterial small subunit ribosomal RNA", at positions 56 to 1080 of the family's 1533-position model. The record is from RNAcentral. Lineage: Bacteria; Bacillati; Actinomycetota; Actinomycetes; Micrococcales; Micrococcaceae.
UGCAGUCGAACGAUGAAGCCGGGUGCUUGCACCGGGUGGAUUAGUGGCGAACGGGUGAGUAUCACGUGAGUAACCUGCCCUUGACUCUGGGAUAAGCCUGGGAAACUGGGUCUAAUACCGGAUAUGACCAGUCCUCGCAUGGGGUGCUGGUGGAAAGAUUUAUCGGUCUUGGAUGGACUCGCGGCCUAUCAGUUUGUUGGUGAGGUAAUGGCUCACCAAGGCGAUGACGGGUAGCCGGCCUGAGAGGGUGACCGGCCACACUGGGACUGAGACACGGCCCAGACUCCUACGGGAGGCAGCAGUGGGGAAUAUUGCACAAUGGGCGCAAGCCUGAUGCAGCGACGCCGCGUGCGGGAUGACGGCCUUCGGGUUGUAAACCGCUUUCAGCAGGGAAGAAGCUUUUUGUGACGGUACCUGCAGAAGAAGCGCCGGCUAACUACGUGCCAGCAGCCGCGGUAAUACGUAGGGCGCGAGCGUUAUCCGGAAUUAUUGGGCGUAAAGGGCUCGCAGGCGGUUUGCCACGUCUGCUGUGAAAGCCCGGGGCUUAACUCCGGGUGUGCAGUGGGUACGGGUAGACUAGAGUGCAGUAGGGGAGACUGGAAUUCCUGGUGUAGCGGUGAAAUGCGCAGAUAUCAGGAAGAACACCGAUGGCGAAGGCAGGUCUCUGGGCUGUUACUGACGCUGAGGAGCGAAAGCAUGGGGAGCGAACAGGAUUAGAUACCCUGGUAGUCCAUGCCGUAAACGUUGGGCACUAGGUGUGGGGGGACAUUCCACGUUUUCCGCGCCGUAGCUAACGCAUUAAGUGCCCCGCCUGGGGAGUACGGCCGCAAGGCUAAAACUCAAAGGAAUUGACGGGGGCCCGCACAAGCGGCGGAGCAUGCGGAUUAAUUCGAUGCAACGCGAAGAACCUUACCAAGGCUUGACAUGGACCGGGAUCGCUGCAGAGAUGUAGUUUCCCUUCGGGGCUGGUUCACAGUGGUGCAUGGUGUCGUCAGCUCGUGUCGUGAGAUGUUGGGG